UUUUUUUUUGUUACGAAAAAGGGAGGUGGAAAGUCAGUGCCAAAUGCAUGGCAAUCCUUGGUCGAGCUUAUUUAUGAUUUCGUGCUGAACCUGGUAAACGAACAAACAGGUGGUCUUUCCGGAAAUGUGAAACAAAAGUAA
This 141-nucleotide ribosomal RNA is filed under the name Triticum aestivum (bread wheat). RNAcentral describes it as "partial small subunit ribosomal RNA". Lineage: Eukaryota; Viridiplantae; Streptophyta; Magnoliopsida; Poales; Poaceae. The record is from RNAcentral.